RNAcentral lists this ribosomal RNA (515 nucleotides) under uncultured bacterium. RNAcentral's name for it is "bacterial SSU rRNA". It matches the Rfam family "Bacterial small subunit ribosomal RNA", at positions 15 to 518 of the family's 1533-position model. The record is from RNAcentral.
GAUUAUGGCUCAGGAUGAACGCUAGCUACAGGCUUAACACAUGCAAGUCGAGGGGCAGCAUGUUGGUUGCUUGCAACCAAUGAUGGCGACCGGCGCACGGGUGAGUAACGCGUAUCCAACCUUCCCUAUAGUAGAGGAUAGCCCGGCGAAAGUCGGAUUAAUACUCUAUGUUUUCCAAUGCAGACAUCUAAGUUGGAACAAAGGUUCACCGCUAUAGGAUGGGGGAUGCGUCUGAUUAGAUAGUCGGCGGGGUAACGGCCCACCGAGUCGACGAUCAGUAGGGUUCUGAGAGGAAGGUCCCCCACAUUGGAACUGAGACACGGUCCAAACUCCUACGGGAGGCAGCAGUGAGGAAUAUUGGUCAAUGGGCGAGAGCCUGAACCAGCCAAGUAGCCGUGCAGGAUGACGGCCCUAUGGGUUGUAAACUGCUUUUAUACAGGGAUAAAGUGACGUACGUGUACGUUAUUGUAGGUACUGUAUGAAUAAGGACCGGCUAAUUCCGUGCCAGCCGCGGC